This is a long non-coding RNA of Bombus huntii, 4194 nucleotides long. RefSeq lists it as uncharacterized. The record is from RefSeq and is a predicted model, not a curated record. The transcript has 2 exons. NCBI's taxonomy places the organism in Eukaryota, Metazoa, Arthropoda, Insecta, Hymenoptera, Apidae.
UCUUCGCUGAGAGCGUCGGCAACGAGGUCGAAAUUACCACGGUGAGCCUUUAUUUCGUCGCGAACGCGCGAGGGGGUACCUAUAAGAGCGGCGAGACACGACGGAGAGUGGAAAGUUUUGACGCCACCCUAUAAAUCAAGCCGCGGGUUCGCUCGGCCGAAACGUUGCACGGUCUCACCCCGGUUCUCCAGAGUUUCGCUCACCGUAUGUCUCCUUCGCCUCUCGGCACAGACAGCUUGUACAAGGUGAGUCAAAAAUUCCAACAGUUCCACCCCGCCUCCUCCACCACCUUUUCAUGCUACGGCUUCAACCCAUCCCUAUCUCCAUCCCCCAGGCCGUCCAGCUGCCUUGACUUUGAAAUAAUUACCCCGGAGUUAAUUUAUGUCGCGUUCAGGGAACGACGAUGCGAUUUUUUUCCGAAUUAACACGCCUCUAUGCUCUGGAAAAAUUGCACCACUCACCCUUAGAGGGGAAUCGCGUGAAGCGUGAAUAAUAUAAGAAAUGGUUAAUUACGUAUUACACGUGAUUUGCUUUCUAACUUUGUUUACGAGUUUCAUCGGAUAUUGAAGUUUCAUAUUCGUUUUGUUAUACAGAGAACAAUGUAUCAUUGUUUCUUAUAUAUGUCGUUGUUGUAAGAAGUUUGAAUUGGAAAUAUGAAAGAGAGGAAUUUGUAGCGAAUGAAGAAGAACGUAUAGCAAUAUUAAUCUUGUCGAGGUUGAGGUUAGGUUGGUAGGUUAGAUUCCUGAUAGAGGAACCAGUGGAUGAAUUUGUAAUAGAAAAAUAUAUUGAAAUAAGUACAAGUACAGGUACAGUAUAUGAGAUCAAAAUUAAAUAAAUUGUUGUCAUUAUUUAUUGAUUUAAUGUGUGAUAUUGUUGAGGUUGACUGAUAGAGGAACCAGUGGAUGAAUUUGUAAUAGGAAAAUAUAUUGAAACAAGUACAAUUGCAGGUAUAGUGUAUAAGAUGAAAAUUAAAUAAAUUGUCAUUAUUAUUUAUUAAUUUAAUGUGUGAUAUUGUUGAGGUUGACUGACAGUCAAGCAAGUGGAUAAAUUUGUAAUAGAAAAAUGUAUUGAAAUAAGUACAAGUGCAGGUACAGUAUAUGAGAUCAAAAUUAAAUAAAUUGUCAUUAUUUAUUAAUUUAAUGUGUGAUAUUGUUGAGGUUGACUGAUAGAGGAACCAGUGGAUGAAUUUGUAAUAGAAAAAUGUAUUGAAAUAAGUACAAGUGCAGGUAUGGUGUAUGUUGAUCCAGAUCCUCACUCCUUCAGUGUUACAAUACAAAAGAAUGUAACAGGGAACACGUUGAUAUAUUUAUAGCAAAAGACAUUACCAAAAUGUUAACUUUGUUGUGCAGCUGUAGCUGAAGGUUACAAGGAACAGCAAUGGAAAUCUACUUAUAGCUGUUUUGUUUCUAGACCUUGUAACAAGGUUACAAUAAUAUGCACCUCCUUAUUUUGAAUCUUUUUGCUUCACUAAAUUCUAUUCUGUUUGUAACAGUGUCUGCAGGUCACGGGUAUACAAAAGAAAAUGUGUAGAGUUUUUCUUGAAGUAAUUAUACUUCUACACUUAUAUAUGUUGUUAUUGUAAGAAGCUUGAAUUGGAAACAUGAAAGAGAGGAAUUUAUAGCGAAUGAAGAAGAGCGUAUAGCAAUAUUAAUCCUAGUACGGACAACUAAAAACCCGAGUUACCUUUUAUAUUUAUAAAUAAAAGCGUGAAAUAUUACAUUUUCAAGCUUAACAUUUUAGUUACUUGCAUAAGGAUUAACUACGUUCCAUCUUAUCUGAUGUUUCCUUGCUGCAACGUCGUUCCCCAGAAAUUUACAGAGAUAUGAGACAGUUUACCUUUAAUUGUAGUCCAUUAACUUAAAUUUACUACACUUACACUUAAACCGAUAAAGCUGUAGUACAAUUCACAUCAAAGAGACAUCGACAUUUUCUUCACUUUGCCACGACUUGUCAAGAGUAACAAGAACCUGCAAUCAUCGACAAUUCUCUACAAGCUGUCCUUCAUUAUUUUCAAUUCUCGCGCAAUUUUCAAGAUCACGCACGAUUAAUAAAACAUGAAAACAAAUCGCUGUAUUUAUAGCGUUGCCAAUCUCAUCAAAUUUACACGCAAUAAGAAUCACGUUCGUUCAUUGUAAGAAAGAAAAAAAAUAGAAAAAAAGAGGAUACAUUGUUGCAAAAUAAGUAAAUGCAAAUUUCGCUGGUUGUGGCAAACUUCUAUACAGCGGCGGACGAGCCAGAGAUAUCGCGCCACGAUAAUCGCGCAAAUGUCCGGCGCAGAGGUAACAUUUAACUCUUACAUAUGUCGCGCUCGUGUUCAGUGUAACGGUAUGCGUACAACACUCCUGUACACAUUGCUGCCUGGCUACAGAUAUUAUACAAUUAACAGAUAUAAUUAGCAAAUGGUGAGCUGGCUAUCUUGAAUCGCGUUGGAACGAGAGCGCGCUUUAACAUUGAGAUCGAAUUUCGUCGAAGGGAAACACCGUAGGGUCGCAGAACAUUUCAUGGUCCUCCGUGAAACGUGCAACGUGCAAUAAUAAAUAAAAAUAUACAAAUUUGGCGUAUAAACGAAAUAACUAACAUCUAAAUAUUUUAUAAUAUUUUAUUGUUUAUUGGACUGAUGAAAGAGGAAUACAGAGAACAAAUGUGUAUUGAUCAUCAAUGUGAGAUCUAUGUACAGUGAAGAGCAUCAAAUAGAGGCAAUUGUUGUAUAAAAUUCAACUUGAUUUAAUUAACCAAUUUUUUCACCAAGUUAUCAAAAGGAAAGGUAAUUUUUCUCUCUUGUUUUGAAAAAUUGACGAAACUCAGACUGAAAGGUAUGUUAGAAUUUUGGGAGAAAUUUUCUGCAACCUAAAACUCAAAGAAUUUCUACACGAUUUCUACUUUACAUGGACUAUCAAUAAGCGUUAGCAUUUGACACUAGAAUUUACGAUUUCAUUCCAGGUAUCCAUCCUGCCAACUACAUCUCCACGAGAUAAACUCAGGUAUCUCAUCCCCCGGAGAAACUCCACGAAAGAUCAGACCACCCUGCGACGUCCCUUACACUAACUAGCAACGAAGUGGCCUAUCCCAAAGGAACCGGCGAUAAUCGAAAGAAAACCGAACUAGGGUCUACUACCCUCUAUUCCACUAUAGACAGGCUUCUGUCCGUGCCUUGCCCGUAGGAAAUACGUUUCCGGUAGCUUGUCCGGCUGUCCGUAGGAGUCGCAUGACAGAUAGAAAGGAGCAUGGAACACAGAAGGGGAGAGGAAGAGACAGAGAAAACCGAUAGAGUGGCCAGCAAGCAAGAAAAGGAAGAUAUUGGGAGGAGUAGCGGCGAUGGGGCAGGGUGAGAAGCGAGGAUUCGGCGGAGUGGUUGGUUCAGGGGUUGGUAUUGGAUGCUGCCUCGGCGAAGCUCACGGUAGGGGUAGUUUGACAAGUUGACAAGAGCACAAAGGUCGUGGCGGAGCCGCAAGAGACGUGGAAGGGGUGGAAGGGCGAGGGCUGCACGUAGCGGAGCCUAGAAAAGAGGAGUGUGGGAAGAGGAGGCGUCGCGAUGCUCAGCGUCCGACGGAGGGUUACCGGAUAGGGUAGUAGGGGGUUGAAAGCCCGGUAGAUUCAACGCCGUGAACAAAGGCCGGCUGGCUUCGCCCCGCUGCCUACUCUCGGACUUUGGAAACGAGAUCGCAUACACACACGCCACGGGUACCGCGUGCCUACCUCUUCUGUGUGCGUGUGUUCUAUUAGUGUGCGUCUGUAUGCGUGUGAGAACGCCACGAACCGUGUGCACCAUCGGUAGGUAUAUACCGCCCAGAAGGGGAGUUAGAGUUUGCUCGCUCGACCCGAUAGAUACGAGCGAGCCGGGCCUAAUAUCGAAAGUUCCUGGCUCGAGCUGAAACCGUGCUUAAUUAAAUCGGAAGGCCGUGAGAGAUAACCGGCGCGUCCCUCCUACGAUGCUCGACGAGAGCGUCUGGAAAACACCCGUGUACUAUGGAUGGGGUUCAUGACGUGGCAAGAAUGCAGCGGGGAAAUUUGUCGCAGCGAAGAACCGAUAUACGGUGGACCGUCGGUGGCGAUUAGAGCCGUCUGAAGCGUCUAAAUGUGAUCACUCGUUGGGAAAAUUCAACGAUUCCGGUGGUCGUAAUAUCAUUAGCUUCGAAUAGAAUGUUACAGUUUAAAAUUGUGAAUUGGAAAUGGCUAAAUACAAUUUACAUUUCA